RNAcentral lists this unclassified non-coding RNA (352 nucleotides) under soil metagenome. Its description in RNAcentral is "partial contains 5.8S ribosomal RNA, internal transcribed spacer 2, and large subunit ribosomal RNA". The stretch from base 1 to 120 matches the Rfam family "5.8S ribosomal RNA", at positions 35 to 154 of the family's 154-position model. The record is from RNAcentral.
GAUGAAGAACGUAGCGAAAUGCGAUAAGUAAUGUGAAUUGCAGAAUUCAGUGAAUCAUCGAAUCUUUGAACGCACAUUGCGCCCGCCAGUAUUCGGGCGGGCAUGCCUGUUCGAGCGUCAUUACAACCCUCAGGCCCCCGGGCCUGGCGUUGGGGAUCGGCGGAGCCCCCCGUGGGCACACGCCGUCCCCCAAAUGCAGUGGCGGUCCCGCCGCAGCUUCCAUCGCGUAGUAGCUAACACCUCGCGACUGGAGAGCGGCGCGGCCACGCCGUAAAACACCCAACUCUUCUGAAGUUGACCUCGAAUCAGGUAGGAAUACCCGCUGAACUUAAGCAUAUCAAUAAGCGGAGGA